RNAcentral lists this ribosomal RNA (283 nucleotides) under uncultured bacterium. RNAcentral's name for it is "partial 16S ribosomal RNA". It matches the Rfam family "Bacterial small subunit ribosomal RNA", at positions 335 to 632 of the family's 1533-position model. The record is from RNAcentral.
UAGCCUACGGGAGGCAGCAGUGGGGGAUAUUGGACAAUGGGGGAAACCCUGAUCCAGCGACGCCGCGUGAGUGAAGAAGUAUUUCGGUAUGUAAAGCUCUAUCAGCAGGGAAGAAAGAAAUGACGGUACCUGAGUAAGAAGCCCCGGCUAACUACGUGCCAGCAGCCGCGGUAAUACGUAGGGGGCAAGCGUUAUCCGGAAUUACUGGGUGUAAAGGGAGCGUAGACGGUAAUGCAGGUCUGGAGUGAAAGGAGGGGGCCCAACCCCGGGACUGCUCUGGAAA